AAAGGCUCACCUAGGCGACGAUCCGUAGCGGGUCUGAGAGGAUGAUCCGCCACACUGGGACUGAGACACGGCCCAGACUCCUACGGGAGGCAGCAGUGGGGAAUUUUGGACAAUGGGCGCAAGCCUGAUCCAGCCAUGCCGCGUGAGUGAAGAAGGCCUUCGGGUUGUAAAGCUCUUUCGGCCGGGAAGAAAUCGUGGUCUCUAACAUAGGCCAUGGAUGACGGUACCGGACUAAGAAGCACCGGCUAACUACGUGCCAGCAGCCGCGGUAAUACGUAGGGUGCGAGCGUUAAUCGGAAUUACUGGGCGUAAAGCGUGCGCAGGCGGUUUUGUAAGACAGAUGUGAAAUCCCCGGGCUUAACCUGGGAACUGCGUUUGUGACUGCAAGGCUAGAGUACGGCAGAGGGGGGUGGAAUUCCUGGUGUAGCAGUGAAAUGCGUAGAGAUCAGGAGGAACACCGAUGGCGAAGGCAGCCCCCCUGGGCCUGUACUGACGCUCAUGCACGAAAGCGUGGGGAGC
RNAcentral lists this ribosomal RNA (519 nucleotides) under uncultured bacterium. RNAcentral describes it as "bacterial SSU rRNA". It matches the Rfam family "Bacterial small subunit ribosomal RNA", at positions 259 to 769 of the family's 1533-position model. The record is from RNAcentral.